Molecule: transfer RNA, 56 nt
Filed under: Camelus bactrianus (Bactrian camel)
Lineage: Eukaryota; Metazoa; Chordata; Mammalia; Artiodactyla; Camelidae
Also listed under: 2 other names
Rfam family: tRNA
About the family: Transfer RNA (tRNA) molecules are approximately 80 nucleotides in length. Their secondary structure includes four short double-helical elements and three loops (D, anti-codon, and T loops). Further hydrogen bonds mediate the characteristic L-shaped molecular structure. tRNAs have two regions of fundamental functional importance: the anti-codon, which is responsible for specific mRNA codon recognition, and the 3' end, to which the tRNAs corresponding amino acid is attached (by aminoacyl-tRNA synthetases). tRNAs cope with the degeneracy of the genetic code in two manners: having more than one tRNA (with a specific anti-codon) for a particular amino acid; and 'wobble' base-pairing, i.e. permitting non-standard base-pairing at the 3rd anti-codon position.
Source: Rfam by way of RNAcentral
AGCUCAGUGGUAGAGUGUGUGCUCUGCAUGCAUGAUGUCCUGGGUUCAAACCCCAG